AUGAGAACAGAGCAGACGCCCGAAACCCUGAGAGGGUGUGGUGACGACUGGCAAGCCUCAGUCCUGGAAUGUCAUUCCUCUCGCUGCUCAACACAGGACCUGAGCCCUAGGACCAUGCCUCAGGACUACCUGACAUAAUGACUCCUUGCUGUCCUCAGUCCACCUGGCCGUGCUGCUGCUCCAGUUUCAACUGUUCUGCCUGUGAUUAUUAUUAUUUGACCAUGCUGGUCAUUUAUGAACAUCUUGGCCAUGUUCUGUUAUAAUCUCCACCCGGCACAGCCAGAAGAGGACUGGCCACCCCACAUAGCCUGGUUCCUCUCUAGGUUUCUUCCUAGGUUUUGGCCUUUCUAGGGAGUUUUUCCUAGCCACCGUGCUUCUACACCUGCAUUGCUUGCUGUUUGGGGUUUUAGGCUGGGUUUCUGUACAGCACUUUGAGAUAUCAGCUGAUGUACGAAGGGCUAUAUAAAUACCUUUGAUUUGAUUUACGUGCUACAGCACUUUGUGUUCCCGUUCUGUGAGCGUGUGUGGCCUACCACUUCACAGCUGAGCCGUUGUUGCUCCUAGAUGUUUCCACUUCACAAUAACAGCCCUUGCAGUUGACCGGGGCAGUUCUAGCAGGGCAGAAAUUUGAAGAACAGACUUGUUGGAAAGGUGCGAUCCUAUGACGGUGCAAUGUUGAAAGUCACUGGAGCUAUUCAGUAAGGCCAUUCUACUGCCAAUGUUUGUCUAUGGAAAUUGCAUGGCUGUGUGCUCGACUAUGUGUGGCUGAAAAUAGAUGAAGCCACUCAUUUGAAGGACUUGAACCGGGUGUUUUUACACUUGGUUACUUUUAGCACGUUUGUGAACUUUUUUUGUGCAGUGUGUGUGACCACUCCAAAGGAACUCGGACCCCUUCAAAAGAGCACCCGAAGGGAAUCGAAAUGAGACCAUCUUGAGGUGAUCGGAAUUCUGGUUCCCUUUAUUAGCGCAAUGUGAACAAAGCGCCCAAUGUUCUCGUCAUUAUUCCCGCACCAUACACUAGACUACUGCAACACCGUUUCCCCUGACAUAACCCUCACAUUGGUGCCACAAGAGAGAAGAUAUGCAGGAUCGCGG
This is a long non-coding RNA of Oncorhynchus tshawytscha (Chinook salmon), 1095 nucleotides long. Lineage: Eukaryota; Metazoa; Chordata; Actinopteri; Salmoniformes; Salmonidae. The record is from Ensembl.